AACGCUGAAGAGAGGAGCUUGCUCUUCUUGGAUGAGUUGCGAACGGGUGAGUAACGCGUAGGUAACCUGCCUGGUAGCGGGGGAUAACUAUUGGAAACGAUAGCUAAUACCGCAUAAAAUUGAUUAUUGCAUGAUAAUUAAUUGAAAGAUGCAAUUGCAUCACUACCAGAUGGACCUGCGUUGUAUUAGCUAGUUGGUGAGGUAACGGCUCACCAAGGCGACGAUACAUAGCCGACCUGAGAGGGUGAUCGGCCACACUGGGACUGAGACACGGCCCAGACUCCUACGGGAGGCAGCAGUAGGGAAUCUUCGGCAAUGGGGGGAACCCUGACCGAGCAACGCCGCGUGAGUGAAGAAGGUUUUCGGAUCGUAAAGCUCUGUUGUAAGAGAAGAACGGGUGUGAGAGUGGAAAGUUCACACUGUGACGGUAUCUUACCAGAAAGGGACGGCUAACUACGUGCCAGCAGCCGCGGUAAUACGUAGGUCCCGAGCGUUGUCCGGAUUUAUUGGGCGUAAAGCGAGCGCAGGCGGUUAGAUAAGUCUGAAGUUAAAGGCUGUGGCUUAACCAUAGUAUGCUUUGGAAACUGUUUAACUUGAGUGCAGAAGGGGAGAGUGGAAUUCCAUGUGUAGCGGUGAAAUGCGUAGAUAUAUGGAGGAACACCGGUGGCGAAAGCGGCUCUCUGGUCUGUAAC
Molecule: ribosomal RNA, 692 nt
Filed under: uncultured Streptococcus sp.
Lineage: Bacteria; Bacillati; Bacillota; Bacilli; Lactobacillales; Streptococcaceae
Description: bacterial SSU rRNA
Rfam family: Bacterial small subunit ribosomal RNA
Source: RNAcentral